GAUGAACGCUGGCGGCGUGCCUAAUACAUGCAAGUCGAGCGAACAGACGAGGAGCUUGCUCCUCUGACGUUAGCGGCGGACGGGUGAGUAACAAGUGGAUAACCUACCUAUAAGACUGGGAUAACUUCGGGAAACCGGAGCUAAUACCGGAUAAUAUAUUGAACCGCAUGGAUCAAUAGUGAAAGACGGUUUUGCCGUCACUUAUAGAUGGAUCCGCGCCGCAUUAGCUAGUUGGUAAGGUAACGGCUUACCAAGGCAACGAUGCGUAGCCGACCUGAGAGGGUGAUCGGCCACACUGGAACUGAGACACGGUCCAGACUCCUACGGGAGGCAGCAGUAGGGAAUCUUCCGCAAUGGGCGAAAGCCUGACGGAGCAACGCCGCGUGAGUGAUGAAGGUCUUCGGAUCGUAAAACUCUGUUAUUAGGGAAGAACAAAUGUGUAAGUAACUAUGCACGUCUUGACGGUACCUAAUCAGAAAGCCACGGCUAACUACGUG
RNAcentral lists this ribosomal RNA (497 nucleotides) under uncultured bacterium. RNAcentral describes it as "partial 16S ribosomal RNA". It matches the Rfam family "Bacterial small subunit ribosomal RNA", at positions 28 to 507 of the family's 1533-position model. The record is from RNAcentral.